This 244-nucleotide unclassified non-coding RNA is filed under the name uncultured archaeon. Its description in RNAcentral is "16S-23S ribosomal RNA intergenic spacer". The stretch from base 57 to 130 matches the Rfam family "tRNA". The record is from RNAcentral.
AACGAACGUCGGGAAUGCGGUUGCUGGACAAACUGUAAAAUUGCCGGUGCCAACACGGGCUCAUAGCUCAACUGGUAGAGCGCCGCCUUUGCUUGGGCGGAGGCCGGGGGUUCGAAUCCUCCUGAGUCCAUUUUCGAUGCACCUGGAGAUGCGAGUCACCAGGGAAGGGUUGAAGGUCACUGACCUGAAGAUGCCGUGUAAAGGUUUGCACUCAGGACGUUACAUGGGUUUGACGGAGCACUAG